UAAAUUCUGAAUAAUUCUAGAUCACUCUACAUUCUUGAUAUUACAGAAUUUCAGUGUUAUUCACGUUUAUCACUAAAAUCUGAAAUUCAACAAUUUAAAAUGAUUAAAGAAGAAUGCAUCUUUUGAGGGGGAGCUUUAGAUAUUUAGUAUCUUAUCCUAAAGAAACUUUAAUUUGAUGCAUACCUUGAAUUUUAUGGAUUGAUUUUGAUGAACCUCCUUAUAUUGCAAGACAUGCUUUAAUUACCUUGAGAUGAGUUCUAUAAAGGCUGUCUUAUCUCAAACCUUGAGUCUUAUGAAAAUGAGCUGAAACUUAUAGAAAAUAUAUUUUUGAGAUUGACAAUUUUAUUGAACAUUAUCUUCAAUUUUUAAACUCUUAAAUGGAAUGAUCAAUAGAGGGGGAGAAAGAACAUUUCAGAAGGAGAGGUCUCACGGAACUUAAUCGCGUAUAUCUAUAACUAAAGGAGAGAGGAAGAAUACAAAAUGAAAAAUGAUCCUAAUACUCUCC
This 505-nucleotide long non-coding RNA is filed under the name Phoenix dactylifera (date palm). RNAcentral describes it as "long non-coding RNA (PDAC_LNC020415)". Lineage: Eukaryota; Viridiplantae; Streptophyta; Magnoliopsida; Arecales; Arecaceae. The record is from RNAcentral.